Molecule: ribosomal RNA, 227 nt
Filed under: uncultured bacterium
Lineage: Bacteria
Description: partial 16S ribosomal RNA
Rfam family: Bacterial small subunit ribosomal RNA
Source: RNAcentral
UGAGUAACACGUAUCCAACCUGCCGUCUACUCUUGGACAGCCUUCUGAAAGGAAGAUUAAUACAAGAUGGCAUCAUGAGUCCGCAUGUUCACAUGAUUAAAGGUAUUCCGGUAGACGAUGGGGAUGCGUUCCAUUAGAUAGUAGGCGAGGUAACGGCCCACCUAGUCUUCGAUGGAUAGGGGUUCUGAGAGGAAGGUCCCCCACAUUGGAACUGAGACACGGUCCAA